CCUACGGGGGGCAGCAGUAGGGAAUCUUCCACAAUGGACGAAAGUCUGAUGGAGCAAUGCCGCGUGAGUGAAGAAGGGUUUCGGCUCGUAAAACUCUGUUGUUAAAGAAGAACACCUUUGAGAGUAACUGUUCAAGGGUUGACGGUAUUUAACCAGAAAGCCACGGCUAACUACGUGCCAGCAGCCGCGGUAAUACGUAGGUGGCAAGCGUUGUCCGGAUUUAUUGGGCGUAAAGCGAGCGCAGGCGGUUUUUUAAGUCUGAUGUGAAAGCCUUCGGCUUAACCGGAGAAGUGCAUCGGAAACUGGGAGACUUGAGUGCAGAAGAGGACAGUGGAACUCCAUGUGUAGCGGUGGAAUGCGUAGAUAUAUGGAAGAACACCAGUGGCGAAGGCGGCUGUCUAGUCUGUAACUGACGCUGAGGCUCGAAAGCAUGGGUAGCGAACAGGAUUAGAUACCCCAGUAGUCC
Molecule: ribosomal RNA, 466 nt
Filed under: uncultured bacterium
Lineage: Bacteria
Description: bacterial SSU rRNA
Rfam family: Bacterial small subunit ribosomal RNA
Source: RNAcentral